CCUACGGGGGGCAGCAGUGGGGAAUAUUGGGCAAUGGGCGCAAGCCUGACCCAGCAACGCCGCGUGAAGGAAGAAGGCUUUCGGGUUGUAAACUUCUUUUCUCAGGGACGAAGCAAGUGACGGUACCUGAGGAAUAAGCGACGGCUAACUACGUGCAAGCAGCCGCGGUAAUACGUAGGUGGCAAGCGUUAUCCGGAUUUACUGGGUGUAAAGGGUGUGUAGGCGGGAAGGCAAGUUAGAUGUGAAAACCAUGGGCUCAACCUGUGGCCUGCAUUUGAAACUGUUUUUCUUGAGUACUGGUGAGGCAGACGGAAUGUCUAGUGUAGCGGUGAAAUGCGUAGAUAUUAUGAGGAACACCAGUGGCGAAGGCGGUCUGCUAGACAGCUACUGACGCUGAGGCGCGAAAGCGUGGGGAGCAAACAGGAUUAGAUACCCCUGUAGUC
RNAcentral lists this ribosomal RNA (443 nucleotides) under uncultured bacterium. RNAcentral's name for it is "partial 16S ribosomal RNA". It matches the Rfam family "Bacterial small subunit ribosomal RNA", at positions 338 to 795 of the family's 1533-position model. The record is from RNAcentral.